This 10712-nucleotide long non-coding RNA is filed under the name Heterocephalus glaber (naked mole-rat). RNAcentral's name for it is "lncRNA (ENSHGLG00100045289.1)". Lineage: Eukaryota; Metazoa; Chordata; Mammalia; Rodentia; Bathyergidae. The record is from RNAcentral.
GUACAUUUUAGGUAUAAAAUACAGUUACAUUCAGUCAUUGGGAUCUUGUACCUUUACAUGGUUAUCUUGGAUCUUAUUUUUUCCCCCUUUCCCCUGCCCUCCCUUCACCCCCUCCACCCUUCCCUAUUUGCAAAGACUUUGUUUCCACUUUUUUCCUUUUCUCAUAUUUUUUCUUUUCCCUUCUUCCCUUUCCCCUACCCCUCCCACUUCCCCUGCUCCUUUAGACCUUUUCUUCCUACUACACAAUAUCAAUUAUACAUUUUAAAAAUUACAAUAUCAAGAUCUAGGAGACAUCACCACAGAUUUUACAGAAAUUAAAGGGAUAUAGAAAGCAUAUUACAAAAAUCUUUUUUGAAAUAAAUUUGACAACUUCUAAGAAGUACCGUGGAAGACAAAUUAAUGAAACUAACUCUGGAGGAAAUAUAAAAUUUGAAUUGCACCUAUUAAAGAAAGUAUAUUCCUAGCUUGAAAACCUACCUAUAUGAUAACAACAGGCUCAUAUACAUUUUAACUGAUAAAUUAUAUCAAACAUUUACAGCAGAAAAAAAAAGGAACACUUCUCCCCUCAUUUUAGGAAAUCAACAUUGUGCUAAUACUAAAACUGGAUAAAGAUAAUAGAAGAAAAAAGUAUGAACAUAGAUAGAAAUUUGUUUAAUAGAACAAACUAUUAGAAGUCAGAUCUGGCAGUAUGUAGAAAGUGGUUUUAUUAUAGGGAUGGCAGUGUGAUUCAGCAUUGGAAGAUCUACCCCCAAAAGUCAUCAUUUUAACAGAGGAAAGGGAAAAGCCAUAUGAUCCUGUCACUAGUUGGAGAAAAAGUAUUGGACUAAAUUCUACAGCUAUUCAUGGUAAAAGCUAUCAGGACACUAGAAGUAGAACAGAACCUCUUCAACAAAUCAAAGACAUGUUCUCCAUACUUCCAGAAAAAAUGCCUUAUAUGAAUGGAGAAGAUACAAUGCUUUCUCCCUAUGGUGGGGAACAAGGGCAGAUAUGCCUACUCUUCAUCUGUCCAUUAAACUUUGAAACAUAGGCCCAAACCAAAAUUGUCUGGCAAUAAAAAUAAACAAAUAGCAUAGGAUUGCCAAGGUAGAAGUAAAAUAUUUAUAUGUAGAUGAAACAAUCAUCUACAGAGAAAAUACUAAAAAAUCUCUAGGAGCCCCUAGAACUUGUAUUUGAAUUUAGCAGGAUUAGAAAACAUAAGGUACAUAUAAAAAUUUAGCAGGAUUAUAAAACACAAGGUAUAUAUAUGUAUACUUGCUAUAAAUGAAGAAUUGGAUAUUGAAAUUUAAAAGUUAUGUAGGAGUACAAAGGACCUAGAAAAGUAAAAGGAAAAAGAAAAAGAAAAAAAAACAGUGUUGGAAGACAUUUAGUACCUAAUUUUAAAACUUCCUCUAAAACUACAGCAAUCAAGGCAGUAUUGGUGUAAGUAAAGGCAUAUGUAUCAUUGGACUAAAACUGAGAAUCUAGAAAUAGAACCACACAUAUAUGGUCCACUGAGUUUUGAAAGAUUAUUUAACAUUAACAUUUUAUAAAACAUAAACUCAAUUCAAGAGCAGAGGAAAAGUUGUUCUAAAAGUUGCUAAUAAAUAAAGAUAUAACUGGGGGAGGAUGAAGGAAUAGCUAACAAGCACUUUUAUGUAGAAGUAAAAAAAAGGUAAGCAGUUAAAAUUGUUGAAAUUUGCUUUCUUUUGAAAGAGGGAAUGAGAAGGUGCAACAGGAGACUACUGUUUCUCAUUAUAAAACUUUUAUACUGUUUAAUUUUUAAAGCCAUUUCAAAUUAAUACUUUCAUUAAAAUUAAACUUUACCCUGAACAUUAGAAACUAUACUAUUUCAACAAUAGUGGGGGGAAAUACUGGUUUUUACACUUAUGUCAAUGAAAAUAAAAUGACCUGGAUAGUGUAGAAAAGACUAAUAGCAAAUAAAAGUUGUGAUUAAAAAAUGAUGGUGAAUGCUUAAACUUUCUAAAAAAAUUAUUACAAUAAAAGAUAAAUUAUUCUUAAUCCCCCUCAAAUUAUUCCCCUUUGCUUUAAACACAUUUAUUCCAUUAUUCUUGCCACUUGUGCUUCAGAAAGUGGUAUAGACAAUGGGAUAAAUUUGUUCACAGCAGCCAGGUUUGGUGGAGCAUGCUGCUAAUCCUAGCACUCUGGAAGAGUAAGGCAGGAGAAUUGCCAAUUCAAGCCCAGCUUGGGCAACUUAACAAUUUAAUGAGACCCUGUUCUCUAACUAAAAGAUAACAAAAGCUGAGGACAUAGUUCAUUGCAAAAGUCUUGAGUUCAAUCUUCAUUACCUCAAAAAAUUUGUAUAUUUAUAUUCAAAGCAAGGGACAGUAUUUUGAGGAGGAUUAAUGGCAAUGCAUCUUUUACUGUAAUAUUUUCUUAAUUUAAAUGUUCACCAUGUAUUUUAUCAUACCGUUCUUUGGAUCAUUUUCUCCAGAAAUAUAGUUUCAUUCAGAUGGACGUUACUUGGAGAACCUACCUCAGAAUGGUGACCUUCACUGUGGAAGAAACACUUAAGGGUUGAACUCUGCAGAGUUGUACUGCAGGUUCCAGCUGCCCUUCCCCUGAAGAUAGUCCUGGUCCUGAUGGGAGGUGAAGAUGACUCCAGCUUACCCAGUACAGUGGUCUGGUGGUCCGAUGUCCUCUGCGUCUUUGUAGUGUGGAACCAGGUGUCUGUACAGAGGAGUGGGGGUGGGGGAUGGGUGGGGGUGUGUCUCCAGUGGAUUGCUGUCAGGGCACGGGCUGAUUCAGCUCUUUCAGUGUGACUCGAGACGUUGUUACGGCGUCCCGAAAGUAAAUAGUAUCAGCUUACAUCUGUUAGGAUGUUCACUCUCAAAACAAUAGAAAAUAAAAUUGAUGAGGGCAUGGAGAAAUUGGAAUCCUUGUGCACUAAUUAAGAUUGUAAAAUGGCACAACCACCAUGGAAAGCAAUAUAUGAUUUUAUUUUUAAUAUUCCCUAACUGUAAACAAUCCUGAUUUUCUUCAAUGGGUGAAUGAUCAAGUCAACUGUGCUGUGGUCUGGAUGCUGAGUGUCCCCUAAGGGCCAUAGGUUACAGCUUUGGUCUCCAAGAUGGUACUGAUGAGAGGCACUGUGGAGCUUCAGGAGGUGGAGCCUGUGGGAGAUCUUGAGAUCUUUGGGGUUAUGCCUCCAUAAGGGUUGUGAGUCCCCAGUUUGUCCUCUUCCUCUUUUUUAUUGCUUGUGAUGCAAACAGUUUCCUCUACUGCAUAUUUCUGCCAUGAUGUGCUGCCCUCAGUCUUGGACUGGAACCUCCAGAACUGUGAGUCAAAAUUAACCUUUCUUAUUAUGACUUAACUGCCUCCAGUAUUUGGUUAUAGUAAUGUGAGGCUCAUACACUGUAGAACAUCCGCACCACAGAAUACUCUUCAAAAAGAAAAAGGAGAGCACUUCUGAUUCAUCAUCACUUGGAUAAAUCUCUAGAGAGUUAUGCUGAGUAGGAAAACGCCAAUUCCAUACAUAUAUCAUGCUUCAAAUGACAGAAUUCUAGAAAUGGAGAACAGAUUAGUGGUCAUCUGGGAUUACAGGUUAGGAGGAGAGAUACAGUUGAGGAUACAAAAAGACAACACCAGAGACCUUUGUGCUGUUGAAGGUGCUCUGUAUCUUGACUCUAGUGGUACAUACAUGAACCACUCUAUAAAGACCAUAAGUUUAUAUACCCCACCUCCAACAUCUGCAUGCAUCAUGCAUGUACGCAUUUUGAUCUUAUCAUAUCCUGUGGAACUAAAGGAUUCUGGAUUUCUGAAAAUGGAACCAAAUAUAAUUAGCCUGUCAGAUAAGAUAUAUAGACAAACAUGAUUGAUGGAUAUAUAGAUAUAUCAUAGUAAACUAAUAAGUGAUUGCAGGCAACAUAGAGGAUGAAAAAGAUUACCCAGAGAUUAGACUUAGUUCAGUUACCAAGAGGUGACUUGUAUGUUUUCGCUCCACAUUUUAACCACUCAUGCCUCAUAGAGUCUAUGUGCUUUUGUCUUGCAGUUUAGUUAUUCAGUUUAAUCAUUCACUCCUGGCUAGGUUCCCCACAUAGAUAGAUGAUAGAAAUAGACAGUACAUGGAUGGAUAGAGAGACUGAGACAGAUAAGACAGAUGGAUAUAUUCAUCAAAUAAGUGCAUUGUUUCAAAUCUAAGAAGGAUGAGAAAGAAUUUAUACGCUGAAAAUACUUUUUAGAGUCCCUAGCAGUGAAUUCAAAAUUGAUUCCCUUCUGGAUUCAAAUACCAAAGCUUAGUUUUUUCACAAGUCUUAAAAAUCAACUUUAAAACUAUUUGUUCUAUUAAUAAAGCAGAUACUAUUUAAAAUAACAAUAAUUUCCUUCCUGGUUAAUUUAUAUUCAGAUGUAAGAUUAAUUUCUCCAUAAACAAGUAAUCUUUUUACAAAAUUUUCAAACUACAUUUUCCUAAAAUGAUAAAAAUAUAUGGAAAAGGAGUUUGACCCAAUGGCAGACCAGCUUGUUUCACACUAAACUCUCACUAAAAAGAACUGCAGAGGAGAAUUUAUAGGGUAUUUCCUUACAGUAUUGACACUACAUGUUGGCAAGGAUCAGAGCUCCUGAACCUCAUUCUAUAGGAGAGGAGGAACUGCUACCACCACCAAGGAAAAUUCUUUGCAGUACUUAAACUUUAUGGCACAGAAUUCUUUCUACCAGCCUGUAUACUGCAGAAAUGUCUGCACCUGGGUCAGAAAGCACAUAUGAGAAAGUUCGUAGUAGCAUCAUUGAGAAUAUUCAUCUCUACUCUCUGAUGGGUUUGUAGAUCCAGAAUGGGAGAGAUGGAUACCCUGGUUUCCUGCUUUGUAAAUGGCCCAUCCUCAUUCAGCCCACCUGAUACAGGCCUCUCCUGCACCUCCAACCUCCGUCAAUCUGGAGACAGUAAGUUGGCAGCAGUCUUCAUGUCAGAAUUUAAUGCCUUCAGUCCAAGUGCUGGGAGCAUAUGACACAGGGAGAAAAGCAUAUCCCUUUCUCCCCUUCCCAAAAUAUGGGGAGAAAAACAAAUGGUCUCCCUCUUAGAAUAUUGUACUCCUCUCAUUGUGACUGACUCCUCCUUCAAUCACUGAUGAAAUCAAGAUCAAGAAGAUCAUUAAGGAUAGGGGUAAUUUGUUUGAACCACAUUCAUACUCUAAGGGCUGCCUGUGUACCUGAGUGGUCAUAAUUGCAGACUUGUUGAAGACUUGGACUCGUAGCUCCCUCUCAGACAUCCUGCGUUGGACACUUGGGUGUGGGCACAACAACCAGUUUCAAGAGAUUGUCAGGUCAUUCUGCUGGUGCUGAUCUGCUAAAAACUGCUGCUGAGAAUACUUGGGACUUCUUAUAGCAUAAGGGCUCUAUAAAAAUGUGCCAGGAAGUAAAGAAAACCAGUCCACUAUCACAUGGCUCCAUGUUGGUUCAAACAGAUAUGAUUUUUCACUAAGCAACUUAAUUUUUUCUCACUUACUACUUAACUAAAAGAUAAAUGGCAGUAAAUUUACUAUUACUUUAGACAAGUUAUAAAAUUAUAAGCCUACGGAAAGAAAUUUAAAAAGAGCCUAACUUUCAUGGAAGAAAAAUGGAAAGUAAGAAAGAACAGCCCUCAAUCAAUUAAUUGCAACUCAAUCCAAAUUUAACAAAUAUUUAUAGAAGUAUCAUUAUAAGCUACAGUGUAUUAGAAAUCAUUGAAUGAACAAAUAAUACUAUUUGACACCAUUGCUUCACAGAUCCGAAAAUAUUCUCAGAAGAAGUGUGUGUGUGUGUGUGUGUGUGCAUGUGUGUGUGAAAGGUGGCCCCCAGUGACCUCCGGGGGAGGACAUUAGUGAGAACUAGAAACAGAAACCUGGGAUGUAUUAGUCUGAAGAGUGUAGGAAAUGAGGAAAUAGAGAUAACAGAAAUUAAACAUGUCUACCAACAGGAAAAUAAUAAUCUCACACUGUGUUGGGUUAAUUAAUAUGAAUUUAGUAUACAGAAUCAAUAGGAAGGCAUGAAGAGUAGAACAAGAUUAAACAUGAAAAAGUACUAAGAAAUCUAUUUUGGUCAUCUAAGUAAAGGGGGAUAAAAGCUUGAGAAGAAUCCAGACUAGACCAAAAAACUUCAUAGUAGAUACUAUAAUUAAGUAAAUAUGUAAUAACUAGAAAAUUAAUUUUAAAACAUGGGCAUUAAUGGAGUUCAUGGUCAAAAGCAUUCCAUUGAAAAGACCUUUUACUUAAGUUCAUUUUAAAUAUAAUUUUGUUCAUACUGGUAAUUUAUGUUAUGGAGUUAUAUUUAGUAUCCCUCAUCUCAUGCUAAAAGUGCAUUUGAUCAUUUUGUACACAAAGAUAAAACUACAUACAAGGCUUACCAUGGCUUAAUGACCACAGAAACUUUUAUUUCUAGAGGUUUAUGAAAAUGUGAUCAUGAAAACAAAUGAGUGAUUGAUUUUUCUUUCACCUAAAUAUCAUGGCAGUGAAUGCCCUUGAAUGUGUUCUUUUAACAUCCACCACACAAGCAUUAUCUACUUAUAUAGAUUCAUUGAUGAAGAAUAGUAUAUGACCUAUAAUCUUUUAACCUUUAGUGGAGGUAUAAUAAAAGAUAUGAAGCACAUCAAAAUUUUAAGGCUUUAAGUGAGAUAUUGUGACAUUUUAGAAAUUUAUACAUACAUAGCCUCCAAAAAUACUUGUAAUCCUAAUCCCUGAAAGCCAUCAAAUAAUCUUAUUUUAAGAUGCAAUUCCAUUAAAGAUCUCAAGAUAAAAUCAUCCCGGAUUAUCUGAGUGAUCCCUAAAUCCCAUAUCCUUAAAAGAAAAAGAAGAGAAGACUGAGAAGAGGAAGGGGCUAUGUAAGAAUGGAGUAGAAACUGGAUUUAGAUGCCACAAAUUGAGGAACACUUGGAGCCCAAGAACCUGAGAGGGAUGGCAGAUUCUCCCAUAAGGCCUUUCUGGGGAGGGCAGCCCUGCAAAGCCUUCACCUCUGACCCCCAGAAAUGGGAAAGAAUAAAUAUGUCUUGCUUAACUCACUAAAUUUGUGAUAUUUCUUAUAGCAUCUACAGAAAAUAAAUACAUAUAAUAAUUUUUCAAAUCUGGCAUACAAAGUAUAUAAACUCUUUGCUGACAUUCAUUCAAAUGCAAUUCACUCAUCCUCAUCUGGAUUGAAAUUUGCACUGUGUCUUUUUUCCCUUUACCUCUAGUCCUCUGUUGAGGCAAAUAGAUAAGAAAGAUGCCCAAAGCAAUUUUCAGGAGAAUUUCCUUAAGCAAGGAGAGUGCAUAAGAUUGUACCUUAUAACUUUAGCUAAAAAAUCUGAAGCAAAGGAUAGCAAAGGAAAUGGACCAAGUAUCCGCACUCUGUUUUCCCUCUGCAGGACUGGGUUUACUAUUUGUUCCAUAAAAACAUUGAGGCUUUUUGUGAUACAAAUCCUAGGGAAAAAGAAGAUGAACAUCAGACUUGCUAGAUUAUUCCUUCUGUGAGGCAAUUUUUUUUGUCAUUAAAUAUAGAUGUAGGGUAUUUACUAAUAAUCACCAAUAGUAUUUGGAAGACUAUCUCUGCCCUUUACAGUUGUCUUGACUUUUUUUUAAACAAAGUUCUGAUAUAGUUAAAAAGAAAAUGUUUAUGAUGAGAAAGAAGCAGGGUGAAAGAACCAGCAAAUAAUUCUUAAAACAUCACCAUCCUGUGGGACCAUUAUAUACAAGUAAUGACGACACAAAUGAAAGAAAAGCCCAAGCCUGGACCAGCAUGUGGGUAGAAGUGUCCCCAUACCUAUGGCGUGGAUGGCUCAACAACACGGCACCAUUGGCAAAUCACAGGCACAUUCCUUUCCUUGGCUCUGUAGUCAAGAGACACAGUGAUGCCCACACAAGCACUUCACACUGGGGCCAGUCAUGGCAGGGAAAGGAUGGUGCCUCACAGAUGCCUUUGCCAUGUGACUUGUCACCAUGGCAGCCCCAUUCAUUUGGGUUAGUGGCAAAGUUUCCAACAAAUUUAAUUUCAAAAAAACCGAAACAACACAAUGCACACCACUCCUGUACUGGAUUUACCUGGACUGAGAUGUCUGGAUUUGCUUCAUCAGACCCUAACAUACUUUUAUGAAGGGAAACUGUAGCAUUUUUUCAGAUUUCCAUUUGGUGUGAGACUAAGCCUCUGGGACAUGGUAGGAGGGUUCAGUACCCCAUAGAAGAGAGAAGACUGGAGGGGAAGCCACGGAGCCUGACUAGAAGGGAGGACCUCACUCGCGGUGGUUCUCAGAUCCUCACCAGGAAAGGACUGGGAUUCUUCAGGACACUGGCAGACGUAAGUGCAGCACACACAAGGGUUCAACUUUCAAUAUUUGCAGGAACUCCUGAGAAGCCCCUGAAAGUUACCUUUUGCCACAUCCAUAUUUUUCAUGCUAAAUAACUUCCCUACAGAAUAUGCACAUAAAAAUCAAAUGUUGCUUAGAGGGCUAUCAUGGCAAAUUUGUAGGAAAAUUGACCCACCAAGAGCUCAUAAUGCUAAGUGAAACAUAUCAGACACAGAGGUUAAGUAUCAUAUGGUUUCUUUCAUAUGAAGAACCCAAAGUAUAAAUAAUUUAAAAGUAAAAUAGAGGAUAAAUGACAGGAAACAGGGAGAUAGUCUACGUGGAGAUAGGAAGGGGAUCUUAGGAUGGGGAAAACAGGAAGGAGGGGACUGGCAGAGGAAAUAAAGAAGGAUCAAGAUGUGACAAGUAUAUAUACCAAUGCACAGUGAAUGUAUUUAUUAUGUAUUGCAAACAUUAAUACAAAAAUAAACAUCAAUAGCAUCCUUUUCUUCACUUAUUUUAAUUCUAAGGGCACAAUCUGCUGAUCAUUAUUUUUCUUUUUUCUUUUAAUCAGAUUGAUUCAUAAUCAAGAAAACUCAGUUUGUAUGUACAUUGGCCUGCAUCCAGGAAUAUGUCCAACCUGCUUUACCAUUACACUGUUGGGAGUAAAUCCAUGAGAAUAAUACUGCUGUAACAUGAAAGGGAAAACCAAUGUGGCAGGGUGACUGUGUGGGGGACCUGAUCAGAUACAAGUGUGACCAUGUCCAGGCUGAGCCCAUUCUGAAACAACCAUGGACUAGAUCUAGAGUCUUAAAAAUGUCCUUUUUGUUCAGUUCUGGCGAUUGAACCCAGGGGCUUCAGACAGAGCUACAUCCUCAGAUAGACAGACAGACACACACACACACACACACACACACUUUUCUUUGCCCAAACUGGGCUCAAAAUUACAAUCCUCCCCCUACCACCCAAAGUACUGGGAUUACAGGGGUGUGCCACCAUACCUAGCUAAAAAUGUCCAUUCCUUUUGACCAUGAAUAAAAUUCUAUGAAUACAUUUUUCAAAGGACCACAGAUGUGGGAAAAUAUUUAUGUGCCUGUCUAUUUAUUUUGGCUGAUUUAUAAUAGCUUUGUCUUUACUAAUAGGUGGAUAUAAAGAUGCAUAAAUAAUGCACAAUCAUAAUUUUAAAUUAAAAUUUAAAAAUUGAGAGAAUUAUAAAUGAUUUAUUACAUAUUUUAUAAAGAACUAGAAGAGAAGACCUUGACCAUUUUCGGCAUAAAACAAUAAUAAAUGUUUAAGGAGAUAGAAAUGCUAAUUAUCCUGAUUUGAUUGUUUAUACACUAUAUUCAUAUAUCAAAUUAUCACACUGUAUUGCAUAAAUAUAUACAAUUAGUAUAUGGAAGUUAAAAUAAAAAUAUAUAAAAAUGCUUAUGACAUAAUGGUACAUGAAAUAAGUCAGUAAGCUAAACAGUGUUGUCUUGAUUCCCUAUGAGCACAAAACACAUCUAUGCAUGAAUCUAAAUUGCAUGGAAUGAGAGUAGUUACUUGUGGAUGCAAUGUAGACACUCUUAUUUCAGCCUCUCUUUUUUGACUUUUAAUAUUUCUAGAAUAUAAAAUAAAUACCUCUCACUUUUAUAACCAGUUAACUCAUAUUGAAUUUAAGCAGAUGUUUUUAUUCAAAAUAUUUUGCUGCUGCAUGGAAAAAUAAAGUCAUAUACUUUACUUCCAUCUAGUGGAUGCAGGAGAAAUUACAAUUUGAAUCUAAAAGUUUUCCUUAAUAUUUUAAAACUUAAAAAAAAAAUGGAGGCAGAUGAGAAUAGGAGCAGAAGAGGAGAGGAGAAGAGAAGAGAAUAGAAGAUAAGAGAACCACAGGGAACACAGCUAUAUAAAAUACUGUACACAAAGCCCCAAAACUUGAUAAUUUAGACAAAAUGGCAUCACUAUGGCUUGUACAGAUUAUGCAAUCUGUUUUGAUAACAAUCCUUAAUUUGGCUUUCAUAACUAAUAUUGGAUUUCCUCUCUUCAUCCACAAUCACCAGUGCCCACCCCUCCCAUCUGUACCUGCAGCUCCCACUGGUUCUCCCUGCCCUGAGGGACAAACACUAGGGCACUUCUGAGCUCCUGUCUGGAUUGACCCUUCCCAAAGGGGGACUCGGCCCUCCUCCUACCUCCUUCAAAUAAAUUCUUCUCCCUGACCUUGUGGCCUCUAUGACUUUUCUUUGGAGAGUUCUCUCUGGUCCUUAAAAAGAGUAUAUCUGCAUCCUAACAUGUAUCUUGAAAACCUAUUAGGACUUUAUUUUUUAUUUUUUAUUUUAACAUAAUAUAACUAGAUAUUAAUAAAAAAAUAUAAAAGCUGUUCUAAGAAAAGAUAAUUUUUCAUAACAAAAAUAAUUAGAGAAUAACAAUGGUAAAUACACUGUGUAUCAUGAUAUUAAAAAUAUGAUAUUUUCAUUUGCUAAUCUAUCUCAAUGCAUUUCCUAAUAAUACUGUAACUUUUGUG